Molecule: long non-coding RNA, 5365 nt
Organism: Prinia subflava (tawny-flanked prinia)
Lineage: Eukaryota; Metazoa; Chordata; Aves; Passeriformes; Cisticolidae
Exons: 6
Source: RefSeq, a predicted model, not a curated record
CCCCGCUCCCGGCUGCCAGCGGAGGCGGGGCCACCGCCGGGCGGGCCCGGCUGCGCCGAGCGGGGCCGGCGGCGCCCGAGUGGGUGGCUCCACCAAGAGAUGGGAUCAUGACCAAAGGAUCAGAACAAGCAGCAGCUGGGUCCUCUCUUUGAACUGGCAUUUUACCAGAAUAGAUGCUCAUCAGAUUAUGCCUCUGGAAUCUGUGACUCAUCUUGCCCUCGAUUGAAUUACUUUAGAUGAUCUGUAAAUUUUCAAUAAUGGCAAUACAUUCAUUCUGCCAUUUGGAGGAGCCUGUGCCACAGAAUAAUGAUCUGAAGAAAGCUCACUUAUUUGCAAGGAAGAGUCUUCAUUUGGGGAUUAGCACUGAUGCAGCUCAAGGGUGCUUUUUCAAGUCCGGGUCCUUGACAUUCAGUGGGAUGGGAAUCUCAGAACUGACUACUGGGGACUCCCAAGCUACAGAUCAGAAACCAUUUUGGUAGGUGUGGGUUGCUUGUCAGAGAUCCGUUCCGAAGCUUGAGUGCAAAGGAAGCAGGGUACUAAUGAUGAAUAAGAAUGGAUAUCUUGAGGAUAACAAUGGAGAUGACAUCUUCAAAAGCAGUGGCAUUCUGGGCCUAGUCCUGCCACUGGGUUUGUUCAAAUGGACCUCGAUAGCCUGGGGGCCUGAUGAAGCUCAUGGGACUCUGCACGUUCUCACUCUGAAGAUCUGGUUGUAGGCUUGAACCUAAAUUUCUAUUUUGUUCUCCUUCUAUUUGCUUCUUAAAUGAUGAAAAUUAUCCUUUAAAAUUAUGUCUUUGAGUCACACACAUCCACUUUAGUAGUGUCCAGACAUUGUGUGCUUGGGAUGGUGUCAGACAUUGUUAAAAUAUUUCUGUUCUGUUGUGUGUCUAAACGUAAUGAUUGCUCUGAUUAUUGUGUUAGAUUUUUACAUUUAGUGACUUUCUACCUAAAAUGGAGGAGAUUAUCACCUGUGUUUUUAAUCAUUGUGGUAUUUCUCUUAACUCAGAUUUUUAAGUCAGAGUAACUGUUAAAACUGUUCAGAUUAUUUUAAAGAUGUAGGUAGAUUUGUUUAUUUCUUGCUGGACACAAAGUAUAAUACUUUAUUUGCAAACUUGGUAGCCCAGUAUUACUGAAAGCUUUCAAUGUGAUGAUACUCUGAUGUAAUAAAAUAAGUAGGAAUAGACAUUACCUUUUACUAGCUCUCCUGUUGCUUUUCUAUUCCUGUGGCUGUGGUUACACAACAUGCAACUGAGAGUGAAGAUAUUUCUAUUUUUUGUGAGCCAGUGAAUACCUUUGGUUGACAAUGAGUGCUGUUCCCUGUCCUGUUCCAUGUUGCAGUUUCACUGAGUACUAAAGCUGUAGCCCUGAUAGAAGCUAUAGAAAAGACUUUGAAAAAUCACAUAUAGAGUGUGAUUACAAAUAUAGAGUGUGAUAAGGAAAAAUAGAUGUGUUCGACCUCUAUACAUGUUAGUAUUUACAUUGUAUAUAUUUUUAAAGCAAGUAUACUUGCUUUAAAAAUAUAUUGUAUAUGAUAAUUAAGAGAUUAAAAGAUCCCAAACUUCUUUCUAUAUAGAGAAUCAGAAAAACUUUGUUUUUGUAGGCUUGUUACAGUGUUAUUAAGGAACUUCACAGUGUUUGAUGAAUUUCUGCAUAUUCAGAAUAGAAAAGCACCAUUGUCCUGUUAGACCAAGGAGAAAACUGAGCCACUUGUUUAGUCAGUAGUAAAGUCAAUGAUAUGAAAUGGAUUCUCCUGCCUUUUAACCUUGUGCCUCCGGCUCCGUUUUUCCCCUCAAGACCCAAACCUUCCCUUGUCAUCAUCUGCUUUGCAUUUCUAUGUGAAAGGCCCAAGGUGCUUCUGUUUGGACUCCCAGAAAAAGAGGAAGACAAGGUUGGUUGGCCAUCUGCCAAGGUGUGAGGUCUGACUCGCUCCUUGCUCACGGGGGCUGCUGGUGAAGGCAGAGGCAGAACUGAGUGUUCUGUGUGGCAUCAACUGCCUUAACCACAUGCCCACUGCUGUCUUCCUGUAGUUGUCUGUCUUGUUCUUGGCAUAACUCCUAAAGACAACACGUAUACCAACCAAGAAAUAAUCUAAUUUGAUGCACAGCCCUGAUUCACUUCCUGAGCUGUGUCCUGCACACACGGCCGCAGUCCCGUGGAAAAACUCAGCACAGUGCACGAGGCCACAGAGUAAGGCUCUGAAGUGUUUAAACUUUGCAAUGAAAGUUUAAACUUUCACUUUUAAUGUCACUUAUUAUAGCUAUAGCUUGAACAAAAGAAAAAUGAAAGCUUUUAGAGCAGGUUGUAACCAAUUCGUUUCUAGCACGUGAAUGUGAAUAUCCAGCUCCGUGAAACACAGAACAUCAGCUGAUGGGAGGAGGCUGGCCUCCUCCAGGGAGGAAGGGAAGGAAGAAGGAUGGCUGCUUAACACCAUAGGUAUAUCCAAUUUGCUUCCAAGUCUCAGGGACUAUUUAUGGAGUGUUGACUCCAGCUCUUUAGCUUUUGUUUUCUCUUCUGAAUUCCCACCCCUAAAAAAUAGCUCCUCCAGAGGUUCUCAGUGCAAUAGACAUUUGGGGGUGUUGCUGUAGUUUGCUAAUAAUAUAAAUGAAGGAACAGAAGUCAAAGGUGGGAUUUUCUCCCAUGUUUUCCGGUUGAAAAAUAAGAGGAGAUGCUCCCUGUUCUCUCCACAAUGAAUUUCAGGGGCUAUCCUUCUGAUCCUUGAUCUCACAAAUAGAUGGCAAAAACUUUAAUGAUAGGAAAUGCUGCUCUUGGCUUACAGCUUUAAUCUUCUUCCUGAAGAAGUUGUAGUGGCCUGCUGUGUUUGCAAGCUACAAAGGAUAUGUGUGUAGGCUCCCGUGCAAGAGCAAUUGUGUUGGGAACACAAGCUCAUCGUGUUAUCUUUUAUGUUAGAAUUUGGUGGCAUAUUAAGUUUUUUUUCAGAGAAACCUUGCCAGACCAUGGUCUGAGUUUCAGUUUUUGUUAAUGUCUAUGGAUGGUGCUUGAGUUUGGUCACCAUACCUAGUGAUUUGCUAUGAGGAAAACAAAACAAUCUCAAGCUUUGGUUUUGCUUAUUUUUCUCUGGGAUAUGCAGUCUUUUCUCUCAAGUCAUGCAGCAAGUUCCUGUAAAAAGAACUGGUGGGAAUACUGUUAGGGAAAAUUUGGUCAACCCAUUCACCGAAAGUCAUAAAAAUCAAAAUAUUUGCAAAAGUAUUCAUUAAAUAAAAAUGAAAACCCUGAUUUUAGUACUGAUUUUGUUUUAAAAUAAGGAUCAGUCUUCAACAUUUCAUAGCUGUGGAAAAAUGGUGGGAAUGGGACAAAAGAGUCUUAAUAGGCAGAAUCACGUUAAGUCUGUAUCUCAGCUCAACACUUUGUAUCGUGAAACCAUGGCCUGAAACUGCUGCCUGUCAUAUCAGAUAAUGUUAUCACUGAUUUACAUUACUUCAUCUUACCUGCCUUUUGUAAUCUUUUAGCAGGGAUCAGUGGUUUUUUCUGUGUUUUGUGUGUCUUCUUUUGGUUUGGGGUUGGGUUUUUUUUUACCAGCACCUAACAGCCCUGAUCCAUGAUUUGGCUUCUAGGUACUAGGAUAAUACAAGCAGUAAUCAUGCUUGCUGCUGAAAAUUUUCUAUCUUAUUUCAUUUGCAUUUGUUUGCCUUCAGCUUCCAGUCAUUGAUUCUUGUUAUGCCUUCUCUGAUGGAUUAAAGAGCUCUUUAGGACUCCCUGUUUUCUCCCCAGGAAGAUGCUUUUACUCUGUAAUCAAGUUACUUCUCAAUAUUUUUUGUUGUUGUUUGUUUGUUUUAAGAAAAAGCUAAACAGAUUGAGCUUUUUAGGGUUCUCAUUAUUUUUUCACAUUCUUGAAUGAUUUUUAGGCUCUUUUCUAUCCAUAAAACUGUGGUACUAGUCACAUACACAGAAAUAAAAUUACUUCUCUAGUUCUUCUUGUGUUAGUAUGGUUAGAAAUUGGUGUUAUUGCAAGGUCAGAUAAAAAUAACCCUACCUAAUAUGACUUCUACACAUCUGAGUGUAGUUAUUAGAGGACAGAAAAGGAUGGAUGAUUUAAAAAAUAUUAAAAUAUUUUUAAAGAUCCACAAAUAAGCAAAAGUGGGUGUGCAGGAGGGAUGCCUAAAAUAUUUAUGUUAAGGUUUUUAAGGAGCUAGAAGUGAAAAGAAAAAUAAUUUUAAUUGUAAAUCAACAAUAAUCUAUCAAAACUUAAGUGCUAUGUUUAGCAGAGUAAUACAUACUUGCAGAAAUUUUGUAGGAUUGAAUGAAAAAUGUUUGUUAUUAACACACUGUUGUGGGUCACUGGAAAUAGAUACUGUAAGUGGAUGUGAAUAUACAUAUCCCUUACAUCCAUUUAAUCCUAUUAAGUAGCCACUUGCUUAUAUUUGGAAACCCAAGAACAGUUAUGUGAUCUGUUAUGCUGAAAUAGAAGAAAUAACAUAGUAUUAAGAGUUCCUUUUGUUAUAAAAGUUGCCACUAUUAAGUCAUAUAAAAGUUCAAACAAGCAAAAUCCAGAGCUUCAAAGAGGCUCUUGGAAGUUUUAGUGCUUCCGUAUUUCUUUCCAAAGGGAUGGCUAUUUCUUUUCAUUUGCAUCCAUACUUUGGGACAAGGUUAAGUUAAAUUUACACGAAGGAGACUAAUCAGAUGCCUGUCUGGUCAAAACAUCUCAGCCCACCCAAUGACUUUCAUGCACAUCAUGCAUACAAGCAUCUGAAUUGAAUCUGCACUUGCAGCCCCACACUUAUCCCUCCUGGAAACCAUCAGAUUUUCAUUAAAUUCAACUUAAGACUGUUUAAAGUCCUAGUGCUGUGCAUUAGUUUAAUGCAGGUUUGUCUAAUGUUGUGUCUGACAAAACUUUGAGGUCACCACAUUGACUUUCUGUCCGAGCUGACUUGAGUUUUGACUUUGAAAAGAAGGCAUCUUUCCAUUGUGGCAGCAUUCCCUCUGUGAAAUUUGGGGCGUAUUCCACAAGGGUCUUCAUUUGUUUCAGCAAAAUGAAAGUUCAUGGAAACAUGGUAAAUGAGCAAGGAAUGAGAUUUAAAGUAAUGCAAGAGAAUUAGAAUGCUUUAAAAUUUGUGGAAAAGAGGUAAAGGCAAACAAGAACUGAAUAGAAAGCCAAAUGGCCUCUAGUUCAGAAAGUACUAAACGAAAUAGAUUUUGACUACAAGUUUGUGUGUGUUAAUGAAAAAGUUAUUAUUAAGAUUUUGGCAACACUGGGUGGCUUGGGGUAGAAGUUGUCCCCGUGCAAUGAUGAGCUCGCAGAGCCCUUUUCAAAACAACCAUAUGCUGUUGGAAAAGGCAAGAGAAGUGGACAUUUCCUUGGAUGUUUUUUGGUAUCACAGGCUUAGUCAGUGUAAAGUAUGUGAUUUCUUAC